This 121-nucleotide small nucleolar RNA is filed under the name Echinops telfairi (small Madagascar hedgehog). Its description in RNAcentral is "Small nucleolar RNA SNORA61 (ENSETEG00000024930.1)". Lineage: Eukaryota; Metazoa; Chordata; Mammalia; Afrosoricida; Tenrecidae. The record is from RNAcentral.
ACCCUGCAGAUUCCUUACCCUUCCCAUCUACAUUUUGGUCUGAGUGGCCUGACCAGGAGGAACAGUAACACUGAAGGGGGCUUGGAGCCUCUCGUGGCAUAGAAGUUCGUUUCAAACAUUU